AGCUUUAUAUUCAAAGAUGAUAUAAAAUUGCAAAUUUUAAGGUGUAAUAAUUACUAAGGCUU
This 62-nucleotide transfer RNA is filed under the name Nymphalis io (European peacock). Its description in RNAcentral is "Inachis io (European peacock) tRNA-Cys". RNAcentral also lists the same sequence under 1 other name. Lineage: Eukaryota; Metazoa; Arthropoda; Insecta; Lepidoptera; Nymphalidae. The record is from RNAcentral.